RNAcentral lists this ribosomal RNA (560 nucleotides) under uncultured bacterium. RNAcentral describes it as "partial 16S ribosomal RNA". It matches the Rfam family "Bacterial small subunit ribosomal RNA", at positions 355 to 935 of the family's 1533-position model. The record is from RNAcentral.
UGGGGAAUAUUGCACAAUGGGCGAAAGCCUGAUGCAGCAACGCCGCGUGAGUGAUGAAGGCCUUCGGGUUGUAAAGCUCUGUCUUUUGGGACGAUAAUGACGGUACCAAAGGAGGAAGCCACGGCUAACUACGUGCCAGCAGCCGCGGUAAUACGUAGGUGGCAAGCGUUGUCCGGAUUUUACUGGGCGUAAAGGAUGCGUAGGCGGAUUUUUAAGUGAGAUGUGAAAUACCCGGGCUUAACUUGGGUGCUGCAUUUCAAACUGGGAAUCUAGAGUGCGGGAGAGGAGAAUGGAAUUCCUAGUGUAGCGGUGAAAUGCGUAGAGAUUAGGAAGAACACCAGUGGCGAAGGCGAUUCUCUGGACCGUAACUGACGCUGAGGCAUGAAAGCGUGGGUAGCAAACAGGAUUAGAUACCCUGGUAGUCCACGCCGUAAACGAUGAGUACUAGGUGUAGGAGGUAUCGACCCCUUCUGUGCCGCAGUUAACACAAUAAGUACUCCGCCUGGGAAGUACGAUCGCAAGAUUAAAACUUAAAUGAAUUGACGGGGUCAUAGCUGUUU